Molecule: long non-coding RNA, 551 nt
Filed under: Elaeis guineensis (African oil palm)
Lineage: Eukaryota; Viridiplantae; Streptophyta; Magnoliopsida; Arecales; Arecaceae
Description: long non-coding RNA (EGUI_LNC006440)
Source: RNAcentral
CCGCCUAUAAUUUUUUUUUAUGAUCAAACCAACUAUAAAAAUUUUACCCAGUAUAUGUUCUACAAUUUUCUGACCGAAAAAGAGUAACAAAAUUGCUAAAGUCUAUUGACUCUCAUAUUGCUCAAUCGUUAAUUUUAGUUCCCGCAGUAAGGUUAUCCAUUCUGUUGAUCACACACUUCCAGGUUCAGUGACUGUUCUAAUGAAAGAGAAAGCGGUACAGCUGUCCGGACAAACACCAUUUGACAGCAAACACUUACUAGUGCAAGUCUUUGUCCUCCAAUGCCUUUUGAUGCCUUUACCUGGAUCUCCUCGGGAGCAAUUAUGCAAAUUUUGACGUCUUUUGCUUCCUUUCUUUCCACAGAAAAUCAUUGUUGUGAAGGUUUGGCUAUAUUAGAUACGGAAUACCAAGCACAUGGAUUUCUCCAUGUCGAUGAUCUGUCAGCAUUUGUGUCGGUGUUACCUUUUCCUUUUUUUUCUUCAUUUUUUUUUAAUUCGUCAGCCAUGCGUCAUGUUUAUAUAAGACUAUGCGAGAAAAAUGGCGUCCAUUCUUA